This is a non-coding RNA of Paramuricea clavata, 525 nucleotides long. Lineage: Eukaryota; Metazoa; Cnidaria; Anthozoa; Malacalcyonacea; Plexauridae. The record is from the annotation of a GenBank genome assembly.
AUUAGAGGGGGAUAGCAAUGGCUGAAGGCCACGUGUGUGGCGAACAUACCACGCAUGAAUGGGGAGGUCUGAGGGAGUACUCCCCCAGAAAAUUUUUGAAAUUUGAAUCCCGGAAAUGUCAUUUCCUGCAUUCUGAGCAUCCAAAUUUGUUCCAAAAUUUAUACUAACUAUACUUGUAUUUGAAAUAAAUAAAGGAAAAAACGCACAAAAAGUUAAAAAAUAACCAUCAUUUAUCAUUAUUUAUUAGAGGAGGAUAGCAAUGGUCAGCUGUGUGGGGGUAUACUCCCCCAGAAAAUUUUUGAAAUUUGAAGCACGGAAAUGCCAUUUCCUGCAUUCUGAGCAUCCAAAUUUGCUCUAAAAUUAAUGCUAACUAUACUUGUAUUUGAAAUAAAAGAUGGAAAAAAUGCACAAAAAGUAAAAAAAGAAUAUUAACUGUAAUUUAUCAUUACUUAUUAGAGGGAUAAUCCCCAGAAAAUUUUUGAAAUUUGAAACACGGAAAUGCUAUUUCCUGCAUUCUGAGCAUCC